AACGUAGGAGACAAACGUUAUCCGGAGUUACUGGGCGUAAAGGGCGUGUAGGUGGUUCUGUAAGUCUGGCGUGAAAUUUCUCGGCUUAACCGAGGCAGGUCGUCGGAUACUGCAGGGCUAGAGGACGGUAGAGGCGUGUGGAAUUCCGGGUGUAGUGGUGAAAUGCGUAGAGAUCCGGAGGAACACCAGUGGCGAAGGCGACACGCUGGGCCGUACCUGACACUGAUGCGCGACAGCAUGGGGAUCAAACAGG
Molecule: ribosomal RNA, 253 nt
Filed under: uncultured bacterium
Lineage: Bacteria
Description: partial 16S ribosomal RNA
Rfam family: Bacterial small subunit ribosomal RNA
Source: RNAcentral